AGUGAACGCUGGCGGUAGGCCUAACACAUGCAAGUCGAACGGCAGCACAGUAAGAGCUUGCUCUUACGGGUGGCGAGUGGCGGACGGGUGAGGAAUACAUCGGAAUCUACUUUUUCGUGGGGGAUAACGUAGGGAAACUUACGCUAAUACCGCAUACGACCUACGGGUGAAAGCAGGGGAUCUUCGGACCUUGCGCGACUGAAUGAGCCGAUGUCGGAUUAGCUAGUUGGCGGGGUAAAGGCCCACCAAGGCGACGAUCCGUAGCUGGUCUGAGUGGAUGAUCAGCCAAACUGGAACUGAGACACGGUCCAGACUCCUACGGGAGGCAGCAGUGGGGAAUAUUGGACAAUGGGCGCAAGCCUGAUCCAGCCAUACCGCGUGGGUGAAGAAGGCCUUCGGGUUGUAAAGCCCUUUUGUUGGGAAAGAAAAGCAGCAGGUUAAUACCCCGCUGUUCUGACGGUACCCAAAGAAUAAGCACCGGCUAACUUCGUG
RNAcentral lists this ribosomal RNA (492 nucleotides) under uncultured bacterium. RNAcentral's name for it is "partial 16S ribosomal RNA". It matches the Rfam family "Bacterial small subunit ribosomal RNA", at positions 29 to 507 of the family's 1533-position model. The record is from RNAcentral.